GACGAACGCUGGCGGCGUGCUUAACACAUGCAAGUCGAACGGAAAGGCCCUGCUUUUGUGGGGUGCUCGAGUGGCGAACGGGUGAGUAACACGUGAGUAACCUGCCCUUGACUUUGGGAUAACUUCAGGAAACUGGGGCUAAUACCGGAUAGGAGCUCCUGCUGCAUGGUGGGGGUUGGAAAGUUUCGGCGGUUGGGGAUGGACUCGCGGCUUAUCAGCUUGUUGGUGGGGUAGUGGCUUACCAAGGCUUUGACGGGUAGCCGGCCUGAGAGGGUGACCGGCCACAUUGGGACUGAGGUACGGCCCAGACUCCUACGGGAGGCAGCAGUGGGGAAUAUUGCACAAUGGGCGGAAGCCUGAUGCAGCAACGCCGCGUGCGGGAUGACGGCCUUCGGGUUGUAAACCGCUUUCGCCUGUGACGAAGCGUGAGUGACGGUAAUGGGUAAAGAAGCACCGGCUAACUACGUGCCAGCAGCCGCGGUGAUACGUAGGGUGCGAGCGUUGUCCGGAUUUAUUGGGCGUAAAGGGCUCGUAGGUGGUUGAUCGCGUCGGAAGUGUAAUCUUGGGGCUUAACCCUGAGCGUGCUUUCGAUACGGGUUGACUUGAGGAAGGUAGGGGAGAAUGGAAUUCCUGGUGGAGCGGUGGAAUGCGCAGAUAUCAGGAGGAACACCAGUGGCGAAGGCGGUUCUCUGGGCCUUUCCUGACGCUGAGGAGCGAAAGCGUGGGGAGCGAACAGGCUUAGAUACCCUGGUAGUCCACGCUGUAAACGGUGGGUACUAGGUGUGGGGUCCAUUCCACGGGUUCCGUGCCGUAGCUAACGCUUUAAGUACCCCGCCUGGGGAGUACGGCCGCAAGGCUAAAACUCAAAGGAAUUGACGGGGCCCCGCACAAGCGGCGGAGCAUGCGGAUUAAUUCGAUGCAACGCGUAGAACCUUACCUGGGUUUGACAUGGAUCGGGAGCGCUCAGAGAUGGGUGUGCCUCUUUUAGGGUCGGUUCACAGGUGGUGCAUGGCUGUCGUCAGCUCGUGUCGUGAGAUGUUGGGUUAAGUCCCGCAACGAGCGCAACCCUUGUUCACUGUUGCCAGCACGUUAUGGUGGGGACUCAGUGGAGACCGCCGGGGUCAACUCGGAGGAAGGUGGGGAUGACGUCAAGUCAUCAUGCCCCUUAUGUCCAGGGCUUCACGCAUGCUACAAUGGCUGGUACAGAGAGUGGCGAGCCUGUGAGGGUGAGCGAAUCUCGGAAAGCCGGUCUCAGUUCGGAUUGGGGUCUGCAACUCGACCUCAUGAAGUCGGAGUCGCUAGUAAUCGCAGAUCAGCAACGCUGCGGUGAAUACGUUCCCGGG
Molecule: ribosomal RNA, 1343 nt
Filed under: uncultured bacterium
Lineage: Bacteria
Description: 16S ribosomal RNA
Rfam family: Bacterial small subunit ribosomal RNA
Source: RNAcentral